Molecule: ribosomal RNA, 253 nt
Filed under: uncultured bacterium
Lineage: Bacteria
Description: partial 16S ribosomal RNA
Rfam family: Bacterial small subunit ribosomal RNA
Source: RNAcentral
GACGGAAGGUGCAAGCGUUGCUCGGAAUCACUGGGCGUAAAGGGUGCGUAGGCGGCCGCGCAAGUCUGGCGUGAAAGCCCCGGGCUCAGCCCGGGAAGGGCGCUCGAAACGGCGCGGCUCGAGUGCCGGAGGGGAGAGUGGAAUUCCUGGUGUAGAGGUGAAAUUCGUAGAUAUCGGGAGGAACACCGGUGGCGAAGGCGGCGACCUGGGUAGAUACUGACGCUGAGGUGCGAAAGCGUGGGGAGCAAACAGG